ACGACUCUCGACAACGGAUAUCUCGGCUCUCGCAUCGAUGAAGAACGUAUCGAAAUGCGAUACUUGGUGUGAAUUGCAGAAUCCCGUGAACCAUCGAGUCUUUGAACGCAAGUUGCGCCCGAAACCAUUAUGUUGAGGGCACGUCUGCCUGGRUGUCACGU
This 161-nucleotide ribosomal RNA is filed under the name Grammosciadium daucoides. RNAcentral's name for it is "5.8S ribosomal RNA". It matches the Rfam family "5.8S ribosomal RNA". Rfam says of the family: 5.8S ribosomal RNA (5.8S rRNA) is a component of the large subunit of the eukaryotic ribosome. Lineage: Eukaryota; Viridiplantae; Streptophyta; Magnoliopsida; Apiales; Apiaceae. The record is from RNAcentral.